UUAAGCGACUAAGCGUACACGGUGGAUGCCCUGGCAGUCAGAGGCGAUGAAGGACGUGCUAAUCUGCGAUAAGCGUCGGUAAGGUGAUAUGAACCGUUAUAACCGGCGAUUUCCGAAUGGGGAAACCCAGUGUGUUUCGACACACUAUCAUUAACUGAAUCCAUAGGUUAAUGAGGCGAACCGGGGGAACUGAAACAUCUAAGUACCCCGAGGAAAAGAAAUCAACCGAGAUUCCCCCAGUAGCGGCGAGCGAACGGGGAGCAGCCCAGAGCCUGAAUCAGUAUGUGUGUUAGUGGAAGCGUCUGGAAAGGCGCGCGAUACAGGGUGACAGCCCCGUACACAAAAAUGCACAUAUUGUGAGCUCGAUGAGUAGGGCGGGACACGUGGUAUCCUGUCUGAAUAUGGGGGGACCAUCCUCCAAGGCUAAAUACUCCUGACUGACCGAUAGUGAACCAGUACCGUGAGGGAAAGGCGAAAAGAACCCCGGCGAGGGGAGUGAAAAAGAACCUGAAACCGUGUACGUACAAGCAGUGGGAGCACGCUUAGGCGUGUGACUGCGUACCUUUUGUAUAAUGGGUCAGCGACUUAUAUUCUGUAGCAAGGUUAACCGAAUAGGGGAGCCGAAGGGAAACCGAGUCUUAACUGGGCGUUAAGUUGCAGGGUAUAGACCCGAAACCCGGUGAUCUAGCCAUGGGCAGGUUGAAGGUUGGGUAACACUAACUGGAGGACCGAACCGACUAAUGUUGAAAAAUUAGCGGAUGACUUGUGGCUGGGGGUGAAAGGCCAAUCAAACCGGGAGAUAGCUGGUUCUCCCCGAAAGCUAUUUAGGUAGCGCCUCGUGAAUUCAUCUCCGGGGGUAGAGCACUGUUUCGGCAAGGGGGUCAUCCCGACUUACCAACCCGAUGCAAACUGCGAAUACCGGAGAAUGUUAUCACGGGAGACACACGGCGGGUGCUAACGUCCGUCGUGAAGAGGGAAACAACCCAGACCGCCAGCUAAGGUCCCAAAGUCAUGGUUAAGUGGGAAACGAUGUGGGAAGGCCCAGACAGCCAGGAUGUUGGCUUAGAAGCAGCCAUCAUUUAAAGAAAGCGUAAUAGCUCACUGGUCGAGUCGGCCUGCGCGGAAGAUGUAACGGGGCUAAACCAUGCACCGAAGCUGCGGCAGCGACGCUGAUGCGUUGUUGGGUAGGGGAGCGUUCUGUAAGCCUGCGAAGGUGUGCUGUGAGGCAUGCUGGAGGUAUCAGAAGUGCGAAUGCUGACAUAAGUAACGAUAAAGCGGGUGAAAAGCCCGCUCGCCGGAAGACCAAGGGUUCCUGUCCAACGUUAAUCGGGGCAGGGUGAGUCGACCCCUAAGGCGAGGCCGAAAGGCGUAGUCGAUGGGAAACAGGUUAAUAUUCCUGUACUUGGUGUUACUGCGAAGGGGGACGGAGAAGGCUAUGUUGGCCGGGCGACGGUUGUCCCGGUUUAAGCGUGUAGGCUGGUUUUCCAGGCAAAUCCGGAAAAUCAAGGCUGAGGCGUGAUGACGAGGCACUACGGUGCUGAAGCAACAAAUGCCCUGCUUCCAGGAAAAGCCUCUAAGCAUCAGGUAACAUCAAAUCGUACCCCAAACCGACACAGGUGGUCAGGUAGAGAAUACCAAGGCGCUUGAGAGAACUCGGGUGAAGGAACUAGGCAAAAUGGUGCCGUAACUUCGGGAGAAGGCACGCUGAUAUGUAGGUGAGGUCCCUCGCGGAUGGAGCUGAAAUCAGUCGAAGAUACCAGCUGGCUGCAACUGUUUAUUAAAAACACAGCACUGUGCAAACACGAAAGUGGACGUAUACGGUGUGACGCCUGCCCGGUGCCGGAAGGUUAAUUGAUGGGGUUAGCGCAAGCGAAGCUCUUGAUCGAAGCCCCGGUAAACGGCGGCCGUAACUAUAACGGUCCUAAGGUAGCGAAAUUCCUUGUCGGGUAAGUUCCGACCUGCACGAAUGGCGUAAUGAUGGCCAGGCUGUCUCCACCCGAGACUCAGUGAAAUUGAACUCGCUGUGAAGAUGCAGUGUACCCGCGGCAAGACGGAAAGACCCCGUGAACCUUUACUAUAGCUUGACACUGAACAUUGAGCCUUGAUGUGUAGGAUAGGUGGGAGGCUUAGAAGUGUGGACGCCAGUCUGCAUGGAGCCGACCUUGAAAUACCACCCUUUAAUGUUUGAUGUUCUAACGUUGACCCGUAAUCCGGGUUGCGGACAGUGUCUGGUGGGUAGUUUGACUGGGGCGGUCUCCUCCUAAAGAGUAACGGAGGAGCACGAAGGUUGGCUAAUCCUGGUCGGACAUCAGGAGGUUAGUGCAAUGGCAUAAGCCAGCUUGACUGCGAGCGUGACGGCGCGAGCAGGUGCGAAAGCAGGUCAUAGUGAUCCGGUGGUUCUGAAUGGAAGGGCCAUCGCUCAACGGAUAAAAGGUACUCCGGGGAUAACAGGCUGAUACCGCCCAAGAGUUCAUAUCGACGGCGGUGUUUGGCACCUCGAUGUCGGCUCAUCACAUCCUGGGGCUGAAGUAGGUCCCAAGGGUAUGGCUGUUCGCCAUUUAAAGUGGUACGCGAGCUGGGUUUAGAACGUCGUGAGACAGUUCGGUCCCUAUCUGCCGUGGGCGCUGGAGAACUGAGGGGGGCUGCUCCUAGUACGAGAGGACCGGAGUGGACGCAUCACUGGUGUUCGGGUUGUCAUGCCAAUGGCACUGCCCGGUAGCUAAAUGCGGAAGAGAUAAGUGCUGAAAGCAUCUAAGCACGAAACUUGCCCCGAGAUGAGUUCUCCCUGACCCUUUAAGGGUCCUGAAGGAACGUUGAAGACGACGACGUUGAUAGGCCGGGUGUGUAAGCGCAGCGAUGCGUUGAGCUAACCGGUACUAAUGAACCGUGAGGCUUAACCUU
Molecule: ribosomal RNA, 2901 nt
Filed under: Escherichia coli
Lineage: Bacteria; Pseudomonadati; Pseudomonadota; Gammaproteobacteria; Enterobacterales; Enterobacteriaceae
Description: bacterial LSU rRNA
Rfam family: Bacterial large subunit ribosomal RNA
Source: RNAcentral